AAUAAGCGGAGGAAAAGAAACCAACAGGGAUUCCCUUAGUAACGGCGAGUGAACCGGGAAAAGCUCAAAUUUGAAAUCUGCCAACAGGCCGAGUUGUAAUUUGUAGAUGGCUACACUGCAUAAUAGUAGAUGCUCAAGUUCUUUGGAAAAAGACAUCAUGGAGGGUGACAAUCCCGUGAGGCAUGUUACUAGGAGCAUAUAGUGGGCUUUCUAAGAGUCGAGUUGUUUGGGAAUGCAGCUCAAAGUGCGUGGUGAAUACCAUGUAAAGCUAAAUAUGGACGAGAGACCGAUAGCGAACAAGUACUGUGAAGGAAAGAUGAAAAGCACUCCGAAAGGAGAGUGAAAUAGUACGUGAAAUUGUUAAAGUGGAAGGGCUUGAGAUCAGAAUUGGUAGUUUGGGUUCCACGUCCUCUUGGGGGCGUGUACUCCCUUUCCACCGGGCCAGCGGGAGUUUCGUCUCUUGGGUAAAAGCAGUGGAAUGUAGCAGCUUGUCUGUAUUAUAGCCUCUGUUCCAUACAAGACGUCGAGACUG
Molecule: ribosomal RNA, 532 nt
Filed under: Wickerhamiella pararugosa
Lineage: Eukaryota; Fungi; Ascomycota; Dipodascomycetes; Dipodascales; Trichomonascaceae
Description: eukaryotic LSU rRNA
Rfam family: Eukaryotic large subunit ribosomal RNA
Source: RNAcentral